GUUUUGAAGGUUCAUCCAAGUUGUAACAUGUAUCGGAACUUCUUUCAUUUUUAUGGCUGAAUAAUAAUCGCAUUGUAUGAAAACCAUAUUUUUGUAAAUUGUUCUUGUAUACUGUGACCUAACUGAACUAAUUUAUUAGUCCUAUUAGAUUUGGGGGGUGGUAAUGCAGGGAAUGUAAAUUUUCUGGAUUUUCUUUACAUCAUGGUAUCUGUGAAUAAAGACAUUUUUAUUUCUUCCUCUUCAAUUUGAAUGCCUCUCUUUGUCUUGUUGCACUAGCUCCAAUACAAUGCUGAAUAGAAGUGGCAAGAGUGGACAUCCUUACCUUGUUCUAAAUCUUAAGGGGAAGGUAUCCAGUCUUUUCUUGUUACAUAUAAUAACGUUAGUUCUAACUUUUUUGUAGAUGCCCAACCUUUCAGGUUGAUUAAAUUCCCUUUUAUUUCUUGUAUGUUGAGUGUUUUUUUAAUUAUGAAUGGGUGUUAGAUUUUGUCAAAUGUUUUUUCUAUGUUACUGUUAAGAUGAUCAUGUCAUUUUUGUCCUUUAUUCUAUUAAUAUAAUGUAUUAAAUUAGUUGUUUUUCUUUUUUUCACCAUCCGUCUACCCAGAUGAAGAGUUGUUUUUCUAAUGUUGAACCAGCCGUGCAAUCCUGGGAUAAAUCCUAUUUACUCACUUGGUCAGGGUUUUAGCAUCAAGACUCUGCUGACCUUAUUAUGAACUGAAUUGAGAAGUAUUCCUUAUACUUUUUGGAAAAAAGUUUGCAUCAUUGUUAUUUCUUCCACAAAUGGAUGAGAGAAUUCACCUGGGCCUAGAGCUUUCUCUGUCACAGUGGGACCACCAUUGCUUUGCUUGGACUCUAGUUCACUCUUACACAGUCAGAAAAUUGUCCCCAGGCAGGGAGACAGAGACAACAGGAGGGGAUCUGUACAGGAGGAAGGCCUGGUGUGCGAUAGGAGCCCAAGAAAGGUAAGAGAGUGCCUAAGCAGUUUUUAUGACCUUAAGCAGCAAGAGAGGAGUGCUUCAGUUACUCUGGCAGUGUAACAAAUUACUGCAAAACUUAAUAGCUUAAAACAACAAUAAUCAUGUAUUAUCUCUCCGGGUUUAUGUGGGUCAGGAAUUUAUAUAGAGGCACAGCAGGAAUGGCUUAUCUCUGCUCCACAAUAUCUGAGGCCUUAGUCAGAAGACUCAAAGGCUGGGAGCUGAAAACAUCUUAAUGCUCAUUUACUCACAUGUCUGGCAGCUGAUGCUGGCUUUCAACUGGGGCUUUAAUUCCUCUCUACAUGAGCCUUUUCAUGUGGUCUGAACUUCCUCGCAAUAUGAUGGCUGGAUUCUGAGGUCCACCAUUCAGAUGAGAGAGAUGGAAAGAGCCAGCCAGAAGCUGUGUUGCUUUCUAACCUAGAAAGUCAUGCAGCAAGGCUGGGUGCAGUGGCGCAUGCCUGUAAUCCUAACACUUUGGGAGGCCAAGGUGGGCAGAUC
Long non-coding RNA from Homo sapiens (human), 1469 nucleotides. RefSeq lists it as uncharacterized. The record is from RefSeq and is a predicted model, not a curated record. The transcript has 3 exons. NCBI's taxonomy places the organism in Eukaryota, Metazoa, Chordata, Mammalia, Primates, Hominidae.